This 253-nucleotide ribosomal RNA is filed under the name uncultured bacterium. RNAcentral describes it as "partial 16S ribosomal RNA". It matches the Rfam family "Bacterial small subunit ribosomal RNA", at positions 524 to 776 of the family's 1533-position model. The record is from RNAcentral.
UACGUAGGGGGCAAGCGUUGUCCGGAAUUAUUGGGCGUAAAGAGCGUGUAGGCGGCCAGACAGGUCCGUUGUGAAAACUGGAGGCUCAACCUCCAGACGUCGAUGGAAACCGUCUGGCUAGAGUCCGGAAGAGGAGAGUGGAAUUCCUGGUGUAGCGGUGAAAUGCGCAGAUAUCAGGAAGAACACCCGUGGCGAAAGCGGCUCUCUGGGACGGUACUGACGCUGAGACGCGAAAGCGUGGGGAGCGAACAGG